RNAcentral lists this ribosomal RNA (500 nucleotides) under uncultured bacterium. Its description in RNAcentral is "partial 16S ribosomal RNA". It matches the Rfam family "Bacterial small subunit ribosomal RNA", at positions 29 to 523 of the family's 1533-position model. The record is from RNAcentral.
AUUGAACGCUGGCGGCAUGCCUUACACAUGCAAGUCGAACGGCAGCACGGGAGCAAUCCUGGUGGCGAGUGGCGAACGGGUGAGUAAUACAUCGGAACGUGCCCAGUAGUGGGGGAUAGCCCGGCGAAAGCCGGAUUAAUACCGCAUACGACCUACGGGUGAAAGCGGGGGAUCGCAAGACCUCGCGCUAUUGGAGCGGCCGAUGGCAGAUUAGCUUGUUGGUGGGGUAAAGGCCCACCAAGGCGACGAUCUGUAGCUGGUCUGAGAGGACGACCAGCCACACUGGGACUGAGACACGGCCCAGACUCCUACGGGAGGCAGCAGUGGGGAAUUUUGGACAAUGGGCGCAAGCCUGAUCCAGCCAUGCCGCGUGCGGGAAGAAGGCCUUCGGGUUGUAAACCGCUUUUGUCAGGGAAGAAACGGUCUGAUCUAAUAAGUCGGACUAAUGACGGUACCUGAAGAAUAAGCACCGGCUAACUACGUGCCAGCCGCCGCAGUAA